UCGUUGCCUUUCCAAAACACGACCGUCGAACACGUGACAAAACGCUGUCGCGGGGGUGCUUGCUGCCUCCUCGGCCCCACCGGCCUCAACCCUCUCGCCCUCGGGCGCGUUGGUUGCUGGUUGGAAUACGGCGCGGGAUGACGCCAAGGAACACGAGAAAGCUGAGGCACCGGCGAGCUGCACAAGGGCUCUGUCGGUUGCCAAGGCCAACAAAAAA
RNAcentral lists this unclassified non-coding RNA (217 nucleotides) under Carex myosurus. Its description in RNAcentral is "partial ITS1". Lineage: Eukaryota; Viridiplantae; Streptophyta; Magnoliopsida; Poales; Cyperaceae. The record is from RNAcentral.